Molecule: long non-coding RNA, 202 nt
Filed under: Mytilus galloprovincialis (Mediterranean mussel)
Lineage: Eukaryota; Metazoa; Mollusca; Bivalvia; Mytilida; Mytilidae
Source: RNAcentral
GAAAAGGUGGAUUUCAGAUACAACCUGGAAUGUUAUUGAAAAGAGAAGAUCUACAAAAAGUAAGUACAAUCAGGCAAGAUCAGAAAGGUUGAAAGAAAAGCUACAAAUAGAAUACUCAGAACUUAAUAAAGAAGUUAAGAAAAAAGCUCGAAAAGACAAAUUACAAUACAUUGAAGGAUUGGCAAAUGAAGCAGAAGAGGCA